CGCUCGCUCUCCUGCGCUCGCUCUUACUGCAAAACUAGGUCAAUUGGGAACCCACCUGCAUAUUGAUUGCAGGCUGGCACCAGGUAUAAAGCUAAGCCGGUGCUUCUUUGGAUUAUUCCUCCCAUGCAUUCAGCGCAAAGCAGCAAUAAAUGCUGACACUCUGCGACGGACUGAUCGGCAAGAGUAGAUCAUAUGACAGCCACAGCGCGGCAGGUUGUUUUAUUCCGGCGUUGCGGAGAGAGGUGCUUGUGUGAUUUCCCCCACCAGUGAGAGUAUAGCGCCUCCGGUCCUGGGGGUUUGAGCGCUGCCUUCACCUCCGUGGCAACUCACACAGCCUUAAGUGAAGAAUCAAGACACCUGCCUAGCCGUUGUUGUGAGGGCUCCUCCUCAGUGGAGCCUGCUGUCUUCUCUUGUCUUGUUUGGUUUUGAAUUGUUUUACCUUGUCUUAUUUGGUUUUAUUAAGUAGGCCUACCAUUUCCUGGUUCGCCUGGUUUUAUUUUAUCUCUGGAUUGUUGCGUGUGCCCAUGCUUCUGUGAUCGGGCUGAAGCAAUUCUUUGCCCGAGUGUCGUGCCGGGGAUUUUAAAUUGCCCCCGUUGCUGGUCUUAGCCUGUGGGGAGCCAGACCAGCUCGCGAUUGAGGCUGGGACCAUUACUACCAUGAACGGAGGACGUACCAGUGGCCCUGGGACCUUAGGUGGUGGGUCGUUUUCACACUUUCUUUUGUACAGCACCGGGUGGGCUGCAGUGAUUUUCGUUUUGUGUGAUUUUCUUUUGGGUCCACGGCUGCUGGUAAGUCCAAGUUCCAUGAUUGUUUUAUUUUCACAUUAAGACACUGUCAACAAUGACGCUACAUUUUGGUUUCUAAUAUUUUAUUUAUUUUUAUUAUAAAUAAACUUUUAAUAUUGGAGCCAACCUGCCUCGGAGUGCAUCCUUGAAUCUGUGCGGCCUCUUUUUAUUCCUUUUAUCUAUUUUUCUUAAAUAUAUUUCCUAGGGGUGAAA
Molecule: long non-coding RNA, 998 nt
Organism: Oreochromis niloticus (Nile tilapia)
Lineage: Eukaryota; Metazoa; Chordata; Actinopteri; Cichliformes; Cichlidae
Exons: 4
Source: RefSeq, a predicted model, not a curated record